CCCUUAGAUGCUCUGGGCCGCACGCGCGCUACACUGGUCGAUGCAACGAGUUUCUUUCCUUGGCCGACAGGCCUGGGCAAUCUUUGAACAUCGAUCGUAAUCGGGAUAGAUUCUUGUAAUUUUUGAUCUUAAACGAGGAAUUCCUAGUAAACGCAAGUCAUCAGCUUGCAUUGAUUACGUCCCUGCCCUUUGUACACACCGCCCGUCGCACCUACCGAUUGAAUGGUCCGGUGAAAUCUCCGGACUGGCGUGAGUCGGAGCAAUCUGACAAACACCGGAAAGUUGAUUAAACCUUACCAUUUAGAGGAAGGUGAAGUCGUAACA
This 324-nucleotide ribosomal RNA is filed under the name uncultured eukaryote. RNAcentral describes it as "partial 18S ribosomal RNA". It matches the Rfam family "Eukaryotic small subunit ribosomal RNA", at positions 1470 to 1796 of the family's 1831-position model. The record is from RNAcentral.